GCCGGGCUGUCGGUGGCGCGUGCCUGUAAUCCAAAGUUACUUGGAGGCUGAGGGACUGUGGAUCGUUUGAGCUCAGGAAUUCACUGAGCUACAGUGGACUAUGUCUAUCUCGGUGUCCCUAAUAAGUUCGGGUAUCAAUAUUGGUCCUCCUUGGCGGGAGGCCGGGACCAAACCGAGGGUCGUGUCUAAGGGCGGCGGUGCACCGGCCAGGUCGGAAACGGUGAGGCAGGCCAAAGCCCCCGCUGCCGCUCAGUAGUGGGGAUCGCGCCUGUGAAUAGAGGCUGUAUGUGAAGCCUGAGCUA
This 302-nucleotide signal recognition particle RNA is filed under the name Neogobius melanostomus (round goby). RNAcentral describes it as "Metazoan signal recognition particle RNA (ENSNMLG00000001218.1)". It matches the Rfam family "Metazoan signal recognition particle RNA". Rfam says of the family: The signal recognition particle (SRP) is a universally conserved ribonucleoprotein. The record is from Rfam by way of RNAcentral. Lineage: Eukaryota; Metazoa; Chordata; Actinopteri; Gobiiformes; Gobiidae.